Molecule: ribosomal RNA, 466 nt
Filed under: uncultured bacterium
Lineage: Bacteria
Description: partial 16S ribosomal RNA
Rfam family: Bacterial small subunit ribosomal RNA
Source: RNAcentral
GACGAACGCUGGCGGCGUGCUUAACACAUGCAAGUCGAACGGAAAGGCCCUGCUUUUGUGGGGUGCUCGAGUGGCGAACGGGUGAGUAACACGUGAGUAACCUGCCCUUGACUUUGGGAUAACUUCAGGAAACUGGGGCUAAUACCGGAUAGGAGCUCCUGCUGCAUGGUGGGGGUUGGAAAGUUUCGGCGGUUGGGGAUGGACUCGCGGCUUAUCAGCUUGUUGGUGGGGUAGUGGCUUACCAAGGCUUUGACGGGUAGCCGGCCUGAGAGGGUGACCGGCCACAUUGGGACUGAGAUACGGCCCAGACUCCUAGGGGAGGCAGCAGGGGGGAAUAUUGCACAAUGGGCGGAAGCCUGAUGCAGAAACGCCGCGUGCGGGAUGACGGCCUUCGGGUUGUAAACCGCUUUCGCCUGUGACGAAGCGUGAGUGACGGUAAUGGGUAAAGAAGCACCGGCUAACUACG